This 148-nucleotide signal recognition particle RNA is filed under the name Nomascus leucogenys (northern white-cheeked gibbon). RNAcentral's name for it is "Metazoan signal recognition particle RNA". It matches the Rfam family "Metazoan signal recognition particle RNA". Rfam says of the family: The signal recognition particle (SRP) is a universally conserved ribonucleoprotein. The record is from Rfam by way of RNAcentral. Lineage: Eukaryota; Metazoa; Chordata; Mammalia; Primates; Hylobatidae.
GCUGGGUGUGGUGGCGCGUGCCUGUGGUCCCAGCUACUUUGGAGGCUGAGGCAGGAGGAUCGCUUGAGCCCAGGAGGUAGAGGUUGCAGUGAGCUGAGAUUGUGCCACUGCACUCCAGCCUGGGCAAUAGAGCCAGACCCUGUCUCAA